This 162-nucleotide ribosomal RNA is filed under the name uncultured bacterium. Its description in RNAcentral is "partial 16S ribosomal RNA". It matches the Rfam family "Bacterial small subunit ribosomal RNA", at positions 355 to 532 of the family's 1533-position model. The record is from RNAcentral.
UGGGGAAUAUUGGGCAAUGGGCGCAAGCCUGACCCAGCAACGCCGCGUGAAGGAAGAAGGCUUUCGGGUUGUAAACUUCUUUUCUCAGGGACGAAGCAAGUGACGGUACCUGAGGAAUAAGCCACGGCUAACUACGUGCCAGCAGCCGCGUAAUACAGAUCU